RNAcentral lists this small nuclear RNA (22 nucleotides) under Arabidopsis thaliana (thale cress). Its description in RNAcentral is "snRNA_03587". Lineage: Eukaryota; Viridiplantae; Streptophyta; Magnoliopsida; Brassicales; Brassicaceae. The record is from RNAcentral.
UGAAUGGAUUAACGAGAUUCCC